UCCGGUUGCAGCAGCAGGUGACGACUGAAGCCGUACAGCGGCUUGGCGGAGAAGUGCAGGCGCUGGUUCAAGCCCAGCCGCCGGCU
RNAcentral lists this transfer RNA (86 nucleotides) under compost metagenome. Its description in RNAcentral is "tRNA-Cys". The record is from RNAcentral.